AUGUGGGAGGGCCUGUAAAAUAUACCCUUGAGCUGAAACCCCUGGUCUUUUUGCCCUCAAGCAUGCCUCACUCCCAUUCUCCUUCGCUGCCAGGCUGCUCUGCUCUCCUUGGCCAAUCCGGGCUUUUCAGCCACGAGUUAUAAAGAUACACCCUCUGUCAUAUUCCCCGUGUGCCUCUAUCACUGCACUGCUUCAGCUACCAGCCGAC
Non-coding RNA from Pelobates cultripes (western spadefoot toad), 208 nucleotides. The record is from the annotation of a GenBank genome assembly. Lineage: Eukaryota; Metazoa; Chordata; Amphibia; Anura; Pelobatidae.